This 9434-nucleotide long non-coding RNA is filed under the name Ananas comosus (pineapple). RNAcentral describes it as "long non-coding RNA (ACOM_LNC010294)". The record is from RNAcentral. Lineage: Eukaryota; Viridiplantae; Streptophyta; Magnoliopsida; Poales; Bromeliaceae.
AAAGUAAGGAAGUGUCCUUCACUACUAACUCUCGAUGUUACGUUGUCGGCCGCCAACGUAACCCUCCGCGAAGUUAGAAGCCAUACACUCCGAUCAAACUCUAACUUUUUAGAGUUAUCACAAAACCCAAUCAUAAUACUUUCGCUCACAAGUCAAUUAGACCACGUCUCUCACGAGCCUAAUUCCUAUAGUCCAACCGGCCUAAGGUUUGCUAGAUCCCCUAAGACUCAACCCUAGUCUCUGAUACCAAAUUAAUCUGUCACGCCCCGGGACCGGCGGAGGCCCUCCCGGUAGCGUGCCCAGACCCGCCAUAUGUCUACACAUAUAAGGCGUCUACGAUAAAAGCGGAAGUAAAGCAAGAGAUAGAGUAAAUAGAAUGAGUAGUAACUAAUGAUAUCAGAGCCAGUAAAGUUCUAUCAUCUAGACCAGAGUAAAAGAAACAUAUCUAAACAAUAAAAGCAACCAUAAGUAGUACACUAUCUAUCUCAAAAGUACAAAAAUGGUGGUCUCUAGUACACUGGUAAGACUCUCAACCUCCCAUAAAAUAAAGCAACGAGAGGUGGACCACCUAUCGAGUCGUCCUCGAAGGAAGCUAGCUCGAAGCAACUCCCUUCCCGCGAUCCCUAGCCUCUCCCGGCGUGGAAGGCUCUGAAAGAAAAUAUAAAACAGAGGGCGUGAGAACUAUAAUUUUAUAGUUCCCAGUGGGCAAUUACUGACCUCAGCUCAAUGCACCACUAGGCCCAAAAGAAAAGGGUAAGUAACGACAAUAAUAAUAAGCAAUAAUAAGCUAGUACAAGAACUACUGAAAGAAAGCAUAUAUGAAAUGCUAUAUUACUAUAUCUCAAAUAAGCAUGAUGUCGUGGUGAUGUACAUCUACGCUAUCAUAAGAAUAAUAUAUCCAAUGCAUACUAAUGUGCCUCAACAUAAUUAAACAAGUAAACCUCACGAUGCAAUAUGUCAAUGCAUAAGGAGCAAGCUCUAGCGAAGUAACCCAGUAUACUAUGAUGCAACGAAUGAAACAGGCAAGUAUACUAUGUAUCCCAAUGCUAUGUCAUGAGCUCGUCAAGUAAUCCAACUACUAAGCCUAUCUAGUAGUGAUCAUUCAUUCUCAACUCUGUGUCGAUUUUCAUUUUCAAUUAAGGACCUACCAAAGAUAGUCCAGCAUGUGCCGCCUAAGUGCCUGUGGUAGCCCAACAUCCCUACUCUUGGAAUGUGUCUGUCCCACUCGACCCCGUAGGCUUCUCAAUGCCGCACGAGCGAACAUAAAUCGCGUAGGCUGACUCCGUAGUGCCGGCUUGUAGGGAGCGACCUUCACAAGUAUGUGCGAAUGAGCACAAAUGGCAAGCAAGCAUAGUCCAAGUCUCAAGUAUCCAAUCCUCAUGUCUCUAACAUGGUAUCGUCACUAGCAUCCCGAAGAUCUAGUUUAAGUCACAAAGCGAAGUUCCAAACACUCACUACGCCUAGUGCCUCUUGAUGACACUUAGGCAAUUUGAUGUUCAACAUUAGCCAAGUCCCGCAAUGGCUCUAACCACCAGGUUCACACAUGUCCCGAGCUCGAUGCCGCUUGAUGACAUUAGCUCUCUAAUUCGCACACAUUCUAGUUCAAUACCUCUAUAUGGCAAUCUUGUCAUCUUUCAUGUCAUAAUUAAAUCAAAGUUUAAAUGCAUGAAUCAAGGCUCAUUUACGCUAUGGAAGUAUGGGACCAAGUUUCGUAUAAAAUGCCAAAUGCAAACCAAAGCUCUCUCAAGCAACUCUCUACUACAUAGAGGUCCAAAAUUUUACUAUAUGCAAUAUAGGCAUUUUAAGCAUUCAUAUUUCACAAUAAAUACGUAUAACAAGAAUAUGCAUGCUUUUUCAAUUAACGAUACUUAAUUUAUCACAAAUGAGAAUUUCUCAUUGUGUGGCUAGGUCAAACCCACCGAACCGUCGCGUNAUGGCAAUCUUGUCAUCUUUCAUGUCAUAAUUAAAUCAAAGUUUAAAUGCAUGAAUCAAGGCUCAUUUACGCUAUGGAAGUAUGGGACCAAGUUUCGUAUAGAAUGCCAAAUGCAAACCAAAGCUCUCUCAAGCAACUCUCUACUACAUAGAGGUCCAAAAUUUUACUAUAUGCAAUAUAGGCAUUUUAAGCAUUCUAAAUUUCACAAUAAAUACGUAUAGCAAAAAUAUGCAUGCUUUUUCAAUUAACGAUACUUAAUUCAUCACAAAUGAGAUUUUCUCAUUGUGUGGCUAGGUCAAACCCACCGAACCGUCGCGUAGUGCCUCGUUUCGCCGAACGAAGUUGUCCACGAGUCUUAAAAUACCCUAAAAGUAUUGAGCGAAGAGAUACGCGGGCAUUACGAUCAACUAUAAGAUCAAAUAUUAACCAAUAAGACAAAAGAGCUAAAACUCACCUCAAGAGAAGAAAUCUCUUCCAAAGCUCUAAAAGAUAGCUAGAACCCUUCCAAUCCAAGCCCAAGGAAGGUUCUAAACCAACUAAUUUAGCCCCAAAAGCCCUAGAUCAAAAAUGCCCAAAACAAACCCUAAGUCUCCAUUCUAGGGUUCCAAAGGUAAAACUUACCAAAUCAAGGAUCAAAGGGUAGAAUCCGAGUACUAACCUCCCAAGGUGCCUCCAAACUAGCUCCAAAUCUUCUAGGGUUGAAGAUUGGUCCACCACCAAGCUCUACAAGCAAGCUCCAAGCCUUGCAAGGGUGGAAUGGUGAGGAAGGGGUUGAGCUCCAAGCUCCCUCAAGCAAGCUCCUCUUCUUCUUCUCCUCAUUCUUCUCUCUCUAGCAAAGGUGUGGAGGGAGUGUGGGGAGAGAAAUGAGGAUGAGAGAGGAUGGGAGGGCUAUUUAGGCCAUCCAAAGUAACAAAAUCCCAGGAGGUCCCCCAAAAAACCAAAAUUACAACAGCCCGGUCUAGGCAAUUUUCGCCCAGAGGGACCGGUCUCUCCUCAGCAGGGAUCGGUCUCUCGCUGCGAACCCGAAAAACCAUCGUUCGGGAACCGGUCUCUCCCCGCGCGGGACCGGUCUCUCAUGCGAAGACGCGCUCGGGGACCGGUCUCGCCUGCCAGGGACCGGUUGCCUCAGGGCUGCCACAACACUGCUCACUGGGGGACCAGUCUCUCCUUCCAAGGACCGGUCCCUGAGAGUAAAAACUCUCAGGACUUGUCCAGAAUUCCAGUUUUCGAACUUCUUAGGUCGGAAAACAUUCUACGACCCCCCACCAAGUGUGGAAAAGCUCGAAACACAUCCAAUCACUCAAACCUCGCAAUUCGCAACGGCCCAGUGUGUUACAUCUCAAGUAGGAAUAGCUUUAAAUGCAUAAAGGUAGUGCUCAUUUUCACAAUAGGAAUUAUGAUUCCAAGUCUCAAUAGGAUGCCAAUCAUGUAUAAGUUCCACAUGCUAGUUCUCUACUACAUAGAGGUCCGAAAAUUCAUCACACAUAACAUAAGCAUGUUAAGCAUCCCGAAAUUCACAAUAAUUACAUUUAUCAUGGAAAUGCAUGAAUUUUUACUCUACUAAGCAUAGAACAUAGGAUAUGAGAAUUUCUCAUAUGCUAGGCUAGGUCAAACCCACUAAACCGUCUCGAAAUCCUUCGUAAGCUCAAACGAAGUUGUCCACAAGUCUUCUAGCACCCUAGAAGCAUCAAAAAGUGAGCUACAAGAAGUAAACGAACAACUACUAGCUCAAUCAUUAACCUACCAAGCAAAAGGGCCAAAAUCUCACCUAUAGAGUAAAAUCUCUUCUCAAGCUUCAAAAGAAAGCUAGAACCCUUCCAAUGAAGUCUAGUGAAAGGUUAUAAUCCAAGAGAUUGAGCUCCAAAAGCCCUAAGUCAAAAAGCCCCAAAAUCAACCCUAAAAUCCAAAUCUAGGAUUUCAUCUCCCAAAAUCUACGAAAAAUAGGUCUAGAGGGGAGAAAUAAGCAACUAACCUCAAGAGGAGAUCUAAACCAAGCUCAAAAUGCUUAAGGGUUGAAGAUUAAUCUACCACAAGGCUCCAAAUCUAAGCUCCAAACCUCCAAAAGUGAGAAAUGAGAAAGAGGAAGAUGCUCCAAAGCUCUCUCAAGCUUGCUCUCCAAUUUCUCCUUCUUCUUCUCCUUCUUCUUCUCUCUCUAACAAGGGUGUGGGGAGGGUUGAGAGACUAGAAAUGAGGAAGGGAAAGGGUGGAAUGGCUAUUUAGGCCAUCUAAAAUAACAAAAUCCAAAGAAGCCCCUCAAAUUCCCAAUAUUGCAUCAGCCCGGACUAGGCAGCUUUCGGACUGAGGGACCGGUCUCCCCGACUUGGGACCGGUCUCUCGGUCUGCCCCCCAAAAUCCAACGCUCGGGAACCGGUCUCUCCCUGCGUGGGACCGGUCUCUUCCCGCGGAGAAGCGCUUGGGGACCGGUCUCAUACGCGAGGGACCGGUUGCAUCAAGGCUGCCGCAAUACUGUUCCGGGGGGGGGACCGGUCUCUCAUAGCCAGGGACCGGUCCCCGAGAGUCAAACUCUCAGGACUAAUCCAUAACUCAGCUUUUCGAACUUUUUAGGUCGGAAAACAUUCUACGACCCUCCACCAAGCGUGGAAAAGUUCAGAACACAUCCAAUCACUCGAACCUCGCAAUUUGCACAGGUCCAGUGUGCUACACACUGUUCGAUUGUUGCAAUCGAUAGUGGCGUAGUAUUUGGUCAACCAAUCCAUGCCCAAAACAACAUCAAACUCUCCGAGUUUAUGCAAAGCUAGCAAGUCCACGGGCAUGACCCAAUCUCCAACCUGAACAGGGCAACUAGGGUAAAACUCUCGAAUAUCCAAAAAGUGAUCGGGUACCACAACUCGUCCCGGAUGCAACAAAGAUGUCAGUGGGAUGCCAUGCAACUCGGCAAACAGCCAGUCUAUGAAUGAAUGCGAUACACCGGUAUCAACUAAUGCUCGUACUCGAAUACCAUAAAAUAAAAUGAUACCUGCGACCACAUUCUCGACUGCUGCCUCCUCCUCAAUCUGGGCCGCGUACAUGCGCUCGCUCGGGGGCUGCCGUGACCCCUCCAACUGCCACUGCACCAGUGGCCGCCCGGCCUGCUGGUAUACAGAAGGUGUCCCAUGGCUGGGACCCGGUGAAGCUGGUGUAGAUGCCGAAGAUGGCGCUGGUGCUAAACCCCUCGGACAGUCCGACUAGAAGUGACCCUCCUGGCCGCACAGGUAGCACCUACCUCGACUGCGGGAACACUGCAGUGGGUAGCGAGGACCACCACAGAUCACAUAGCGUGGUGCCUGGCAACGAUCCGGUGCUCCUCGCUGCGUAGACGAGCCACGUCCUCGCGACUGGCUCCGGCUCCUAGGAUGCCUCGGUGGCCUCCGUGAGUGCGUCUGGCUCGCACCCUCAGCCGCAGGCCUCUUGCCUUUCCCCUUCUCCAAGCCCUCGCGACGCUCCUGAAGGUCUGCCGCUCCAGCCUCCACGAUGAGUGCACGGUUCACAACCUCCUGGUAGGUUUCGAGGUUAGAGAACUGCACCAACCGAAAGAUCGAAGGCCGCAAUCCACGCUCAAAAAUGCUGGCCUUGUCCUCGUCAUCCCGUACUACGAAGGGUGCAUAGUGAAGUAGCCGAGAAAACUCUCUCUCGUACUCGGCCACGGUCCGCUCCUCCUGGGGCAAACUGCGCAAAUCCUGCUCCAUCUUCCUCUUAACGCUAGUAGGGAAGUAGUAUGCAAGUAGGAGCUCCUUGAACCUCUUCCAGGUGAUCGCGGUCAAGUCGGUGCUUCGGUUCUCCUGAAUAUCCAACCACCAAUGGUAGGCCUCGCCGUCCAAAAAGUGUGUGGCGAGCCAAACUCUGUCCCUCUCUUCCACGAAAGUGUCGCGAAAAAGUUUCUCCAUAUGCAGUAACCACUUCUCUACUAUCCAAUGGUCGACUUUUUCUCCAUCGAAGAUCCUGGGGUUACACCUCCUGAACUCGUUGAGGCAAUCCAUGAGCCGAUCCCGCUCGGCUCCCUCGGCCAUCACAGGGAAAGCUGCCCUCGCCGCAGGUAUCAGGACCGGUGGUACUGCAACCACCUCCUCCCGUGGUGCGGUCGCCGGUGCCGCACGCGAAGAACUGGGCGCGGGUGUAACACACUGGACCUGUGCAAAUUGCGAGGUUCGAGUGUUUGAUCUCUGUGUCGAGCUUUUUCAGACUUUCUGGAGGGUCGUAGACAGUGUUCCGACCUAUGGCUCGCAUGGCGAGAAUUGUGGGUUUAAACUUGUACCAAAAUCCCAAAAGGUUGGAUUGUUGGUGUGCUCUCGGGUUAGCCUCAGCUAGGCUGUGUACCGGUACGCCUUGAUGGUUGUACUGGUACAUAAGGGAUUUUCUGCCAACCCGAGGCUCGGGUUGGGCAGUUUCGCAGGAGGUGUACCGGUACAAUUUCCCGUGUACCGGUACACAAUGCAGAUUUUUGGCUGUUUCGUUGAGGGGUGUGUUUUCAAUUGUUGCAACUUCUAUUUAAGCACACCCCAACCCCUUGGGGGCUGUUUUGAGCCCUAGAACAGUGGAGAGCAAGGUAAGAGGAGUUCCCUUUGUUUUCUUCUCCAUUUUUGAUGGAUUUUUGGUGGGUUUUGAUCUAUUUCCUUCUCUCUUUCUUACUUUUUGUAGGUUUUCCACCAUUGGAGAAGCUUGAGAUCUUGGUUGGAGCUUAUUUGGAGAUCAACCUUCAACCCUAGAGAACUUGGAGCUUGGUUUUGAGCAUUUUGUGAGGUUAGUAAACCUAAUCUCCCAUUUGGAUUAAGUUUUGAAGGUUUCUUUUGAAUGAAACCCUAGAUUUCGGAUUCUAGGGCUAGAAUUGGAGAUUCUUGAUUUGUAGCUUCUAGAACCAAAUUGAUUGGUUUAGAACUUUAAUUUAGGUUGGUUUUGAAGGAAUCUAACUCCCUUUUGGAGUUCGUGGGGGAUUCCUUAGCGUUCGGUGAGUUUUCUCCAACCUAGCUAGAGAAGCUUAAUAUUUGAGCUUAGCUUUGUUCGUGAGCCUUGUUUGACACUUGUUUCUACAUCCUUAGGGUACUAGGAGGCUAGUGGACACCUUCGUUCGGCGAAACGAGGAGUUCGACAAAUCGGUGGGUUUGACUUCAUAGAAAUGGGGCGAAAUGGCCUCUAUGCAUUCUAAACUCUUCGUAAAGUAUUUUUAAAUGCAUUUCUAUACUAAUUGGAAUGUAUGUGAAUUUUAGAACACCUAAAAUGCAUGCCUUAUGUGUAAGUUAAAUUUCACUCUAUAUAGUAGAGCAAUCAAGGUUAUUGUCAUGCAUGUGGGGUGGGUUCAUGUGGACGAAUGGGAUUCUCGUCUAGUAUGCUAAUUUAGCUCAUGUUCAUGUAUGGGAAACAUUGUACUAUAUUUGGACUUAUUAGCAAAAAGUGUCAUCAAGAGGCACUUGAAACUAGUAAACUAUGAACUGCAACUUAGAGACAUGAUGAUAGGCUAUUGUACAUCUGCUAUAUUCCAUGUUAGAGACAUGAUGACAUAGAGAUAGGCCAUUGAGAUACUUGAUAUAUUCCAUGUUUUUAGACAUGAGGACUUGGUACUUGAGACAGAUCAUUGCUUGCUUGCCAUUGUGCUCAUUCGCACAUGCUUGUGAGGGUCGCUCCCUACAAGCCGGCACUCCGGAGAUAGCCAUCGCGACACAUGCUCGCCCGUGCGAGAUUGGGCGCCGAAGUGGAUUGCCGUGGGGGAGGCUCAUCCCUAGAGUGGGGAUGUUGACUACCACGGGGCCAUUAGGCACGGCGCAGGCCAGACAGCCUUCGGGUGGGUCUUAUAUGAUUGGGACUUAGUGACAGAACAUGCUAUGUGAACUUUAAAACUAUUAAAGUGGACUUGGACUAGAAUAGUAAACAAUGACAUCUUUACUAUUUUUGCAUUGAGGACAUCGGAUUGGUUGCAUUUCUAUGCUUAUGCAUGUCAUACACAUCCAUGUACAUUCAUGAUAUCGUUGCUUUAUUACUUAUGCAAAUCAUGCUAAGUAGAGACUCUAUGUUAUAGUAAGUUACAUUUUACUUACCUUUCGCUUUACUACAUUGUUAGUCACUGACCUCUUUUCGUAGCUUUUGGGCCUUGUGGCGCAGUUCACUGAAGUCAGUAAUUGCCCACUGGGAACUAUUUUUAAUAGUUCUCACGCCCCUGUUUUCUGGUUUUCUUUUCAGAGCCUUCGGCACCGGCGGAGGCACGGGAUCGCGGCAAGGGGAUCGCAUAGCUAGCUAGCGAGGAGCGGUUCUUUGCCUAGGUGGUUUACUCUUUUUUUUUGUAGCUGAGAGAGAGAGAGAUUUUGUAUCCAUGUAUAGAGACCACCUAUGUAUCUACUUUAGCACUCGUAUUUGGGAUUUCCUUGUAUUACUUUAUGCUUUUAUUAAUGGAUUCCAGCUUUAUGCUCCUUUCUCUAUUGUAGAACUUAGUAUUAUAUCAUGCUCUCAUACUCCUAGUUGUCUUUUAUUGUCGCUUUAUUUAUUAUUGCUUUUAGACGCCUUAUAUGUUUUAGACGUAUGGCGGGUCUGGGCACGCGCCGGGCGGGCUUCCGCUGGGUCCCGGGACGUGACAGCGGGGAAUUGCACCCUCGGCGCGACGUCCACUACAGGUGCUUGCGGUGUGGGGACCUGAGUCUCCCUAGAAGCUGCUGUCUGCUGUAGCAAGAGAUCCUCCAAGUGCUUCAUCCGCGCCUUCUGCUGCUGUGCCACCUCGGCCUGUCGCUGCGCCGCCGCCGCCUGCUGCGCUACAAGAUAAGUGAGGACCGCAAGCUGGGACCACAAGUCGCGGACCUCGCUAGAUCCGAAAGUCGCGGAGGUUUUGACCUCCUCGAGGUGUGUCGCAUCGUCCGCUCCGGUAGAUUAGGAACAUGUAACCGGCAUCGUCACUACAAAAUAUAAAAGCGCAAGUUAGUAACCCGCACUAUCGGAUCCCCGCUCAAAAUAACCAAACCCCAAAUCUUGCGAAAGUAGGGAAGUGUCCUUCACUACUAACUCCCAAUGUUACGUUGUCGGCCGCCAACGUAACCCUCCGCGAAGUUAGAAGCCAUACACUGCGAUUAAACUCUAACUUUUUAGAGUUAUCAUAAGACCCAAUCGUAAUACUUUCGCUCACAAGUCGAAUGGACCUCGUCUCUCACGUGCCUAUAUCCUAUAGUCCAACCGACCUAAGGUUUGCUAGGUCCUCUAAGACUCAACCCUAGGCUCUGAUACCAAAUUAAUCUGUCACGCCCCGGGAACCGGCCUAGGCCCGCCUGGCGCUUGUCCAGACCCGCCAUAUACCUACGCAUAUAAGGCGUCUACAACAAAAGAGAUGCGAAAGCAAGAAGAAACAAGUAUCUAGAGAUAUCAGAGCUGCUAACAACUAAAACUAGCAACAAGUAGAGAAGAAGUAAAGUAGUCCACUAAGCAUAAGCAUAAAAAGGUACAAUAAGAAUCACAAGAAAAUCCACAGUGGGCUGGUCUCUAUACACAGGUAACUCUCCAAAACCUUUCCAAAAUAAAACAUCGAGAGGUA